AAAUUGAAGAGUUUGAUCAUGGCUCAGAUUGAACGCUGGCGGCAGGCCUAACACAUGCAAGUCGAACGGUAACAGGAAGCAGCUUGCUGCUUUGCUGACGAGUGGCGGACGGGUGAGUAAUGUCUGGGAAACUGCCUGAUGGAGGGGGAUAACUACUGGAAACGGUGGCUAAUACCGCAUAACGUCGCAAGACCAAAGAGGGGGACCUUCGGGCCUCUUGCCAUCAGAUGUGCCCAGAUGGGAUUAGCUUGUUGGUGAGGUAACGGCUCACCAAGGCGACGAUCCCUAGCUGGUCUGAGAGGAUG
RNAcentral lists this ribosomal RNA (305 nucleotides) under Salmonella enterica. RNAcentral's name for it is "partial 16S ribosomal RNA". It matches the Rfam family "Bacterial small subunit ribosomal RNA", at positions 1 to 302 of the family's 1533-position model. RNAcentral also lists the same sequence under 5 other names. The record is from RNAcentral. Lineage: Bacteria; Pseudomonadati; Pseudomonadota; Gammaproteobacteria; Enterobacterales; Enterobacteriaceae.